This 1440-nucleotide long non-coding RNA is filed under the name Heterocephalus glaber (naked mole-rat). Its description in RNAcentral is "lncRNA (ENSHGLG00000046421.1)". The record is from RNAcentral. Lineage: Eukaryota; Metazoa; Chordata; Mammalia; Rodentia; Bathyergidae.
ACCCUCCCUCUCCCCCCUCCCACACCAAUCCUCACACAGCAACAAUCCUCACGGUUUCCUUCACUUCCUAGUGGUCAACUAAAACCCAGAGGAGGGGUGGAGAUCCUCAUCUGAUUGCAAAUUGGGUAGAAGCUCUGUGGUUAAGACUGAGUAUGGACUUUGAAAUCAGACCUGAAAGGGAAUAGCUCUCCCCUUCACUACUUGCUGUCUUAUGUAAAUGGGGCCAAUGAAGUCUCUUUGAACACCCUUUCUUGUUCAUACAGAAGUAAUAUCUAACUGAAGGGGGAAAAGGAUUAAAUGAGAAAAUAUUUACAUGGAAAGUUUUUUUUUUUUUUUUUUUUUGGUACUGGGGAUCGAACUCGGGACCUUGCCCUUUCCAGGCAGGCGGUGGAACCACUAAGCUAAAUCCCGGGCCCUACAUGGAAAGUUUUAGCACAGUACCCGGCAAACAGUAAGACCUCAAUUCAUAACUAUUUAAUCCAGUUCAAAAACUGCUAAGUAACUGCAUGUUUUGGUAUACUCGGAACUAGCAAGUAAGUUAAAACUGGAACCAAAAGAUAAGCUUAAGAUCUGAUUCUCUUAAACACAUAUUGAAUAUAUAUUCUGCCUUUAACAAGAUAAACGUUUUAACUGAGUUACUGAACUACGGCUCACGAUUUACCUUUUUACCUACUUAAUUUCUUACCUGAUUCAUAGGAAUUAUUUGUGCCAGGCAAAGUGCACCCUACUUGACCUCAGAAAACAGCACCGGGACAAAAAUAGUUAAGCUGGUGAGGGAAGCAAUACGAGUCUAAGAAACUGCGGAUCCGCUGAGCGAGGCUGCCUGUCUUUCCCCUUGUUUGAACGGACCUUUCGGUUUCUCAGGUAAGUCAAGAACACGCCUUCUGAACUGGGCUCUCAGGAAGCCACUGUUGAACUAACUAAGGCCAUCCACUUCCGUUCGAAGGGAAUAAGAAUUUUAGUCAAUAAUGAGGAGGAGCUCCGCUGGGUUGUUCUCUGUCGUGGUCUCCAGCAGUGACCCAGAUGAAAUAACCACUGCAACACUGACUACUCGAUCUGCCGGCUUGAAAGACUCCAGACCGGUGACUUUAUGGAUUAUGAUUCACCUUCCCUGUCCUGUUUUGAUGAGACACCACGACGGAACCAUCCCUGUCAAUAUAAGUUUCCAGUUUCCACCCUGUCAAUUCGCCCUGUACUAAUUGGCGCGCAGGUGAGAUUUCCUGUCGCCAUUUUAAGCAGACACGAGUCCCUCACAAGGAAGUGCCCAGUUAGAAGGGGCUGUGCUUGAAACAAAGAGUAGGCUGAAGAAAGAGAACCGGGCCCAGCAGCUCCCGCCCUCCAUCCUUCUCCCGCAUCCUCCAACGCUCCCAGUCCGGACUUGGGAGGGCCGGGAACGCCGCAGCCCUCGGGGCGGAGUAACGCGGAAUCUCCACUCUCGGC